RNAcentral lists this ribosomal RNA (535 nucleotides) under uncultured Bacillota bacterium. Its description in RNAcentral is "bacterial SSU rRNA". It matches the Rfam family "Bacterial small subunit ribosomal RNA", at positions 8 to 522 of the family's 1533-position model. Lineage: Bacteria; Bacillati; Bacillota. The record is from RNAcentral.
AGAGUUUGAUCAUGGCUCAGGACGAACGCUGGCGGCGUGCCUAAUACAUGCAAGUCGAGCGGACUUGAUGAGAAGCUUGCUUCUCUGAUGGUUAGCGGCGGACGGGUGAGUAACACGUAGGCAACCUGCCUGCAAGCCUGGGAUAACUGCGGGAAACCGCAGCUAAUACCGGAUACGCAGUUGAGAUGCAUAUCUUAACUGGGAAAGGCGGAGCAAUCUGUCGCUUGUAGAUGGGCCUGCGGCGCAUUAGCUAGUUGGUGAGGUAACGGCUCACCAAGGCGACGAUGCGUAGCCGACCUGAGAGGGUGAUCGGCCACACUGGGACUGAGACACGGCCCAGACUCCUACGGGAGGCAGCAGUAGGGAAUCUUCCGCAAUGGACGCAAGUCUGACGGAGCAACGCCGCGUGAGUGAGGAAGGCCUUCGGGUCGUAAAGCUCUGUUGCCAGGGAAGAAUGUCGAGGAGAGUAACUGCUCUUCGAAUGACGGUACCUGAGAAGAAAGCCCCGGCUAACUACGUGCCAGCAGCCGCGGUA